AUCACCACUGCACCUGCCUGGUCUUUGUUGACUGGUUCACUCCAGUGAUGAGCUGAGACUAAACCCCAGCUUUGGAAACAGGGAUGUUCUUCAUGUGGAUGACUGUGCCAAAAGUGGGAAAAUAG
Small nucleolar RNA from Suncus etruscus (white-toothed pygmy shrew), 125 nucleotides. RefSeq annotates it as small nucleolar RNA SNORA65. The transcript has a single exon. The record is from RefSeq and is a predicted model, not a curated record. NCBI's taxonomy places the organism in Eukaryota, Metazoa, Chordata, Mammalia, Eulipotyphla, Soricidae.